AGGCGCGUAGCUCAGGCGGUCAGAGCGCUGCCCCGACGAGGCAGAGGUCGGCGGUUCGAGUCCGCCCGCGCCUACCA
Molecule: transfer RNA, 77 nt
Filed under: Pseudomonadota bacterium
Lineage: Bacteria; Pseudomonadati; Pseudomonadota
Also listed under: 1 other name
Description: tRNA-Val
Rfam family: tRNA
About the family: Transfer RNA (tRNA) molecules are approximately 80 nucleotides in length. Their secondary structure includes four short double-helical elements and three loops (D, anti-codon, and T loops). Further hydrogen bonds mediate the characteristic L-shaped molecular structure. tRNAs have two regions of fundamental functional importance: the anti-codon, which is responsible for specific mRNA codon recognition, and the 3' end, to which the tRNAs corresponding amino acid is attached (by aminoacyl-tRNA synthetases). tRNAs cope with the degeneracy of the genetic code in two manners: having more than one tRNA (with a specific anti-codon) for a particular amino acid; and 'wobble' base-pairing, i.e. permitting non-standard base-pairing at the 3rd anti-codon position.
Source: RNAcentral